RNAcentral lists this ribosomal RNA (1426 nucleotides) under Salegentibacter sp. RNAcentral describes it as "bacterial SSU rRNA". It matches the Rfam family "Bacterial small subunit ribosomal RNA". Lineage: Bacteria; Pseudomonadati; Bacteroidota; Flavobacteriia; Flavobacteriales; Flavobacteriaceae. The record is from RNAcentral.
CAUCGCAGCUACCAUGCAGUCGAGGGGUAACAUAGAAAAGCUUGCUUUUCUGAUGACGACCGGCGCACGGGUGCGUAACGCGUAUACAACCUACCUUUUAGCGGGGAAUAGCCCAGGGAAACUUGGAUUAAUGCCCCAUAGUAUAUAGACUUCUCCUGAAGUUUAUAUUAAACAUUUAUGGCUAUUAGAUGGGUAUGCGUCCUAUUAGUUAGUUGGUAAGGUAACGGCUUACCAAGGCAGCGAUAGGUAGGGGUCCUGAGAGGGAGAUCCCCCCACACUGGUACUGAGACACGGACCAGACUCCUACGGGAGGCAGCAGUGAGGAAUAUUGGACAAUGGGCGAGAGCCUGAUCCAGCCAUGCCGCGUGCAGGAAGACUGCCCUAUGGGUUGUAAACUGCUUUUACAGAGGAAGAACCACCCCCACGUGUGGGGGUUUGACGGUACUCUGCGAAUAAGGAUCGGCUAACUCCGUGCCAGCAGCCGCGGUAAUACGGAGGAUCCAAGCGUUAUCCGGAAUCAUUGGGUUUAAAGGGUCCGUAGGCGGGCAGUUAAGUCAGUGGUGAAAGUCUUCCGCUCAACGGGAGAACUGCCAUUGAUACUGAUUGUCUUGAGUUAUUAUGAAGUGGUUAGAAUGAGUAGUGUAGCGGUGAAAUGCAUAGAUAUUACUCAGAAUACCGAUUGCGAAGGCAGAUCACUAAUAAUAUACUGACGCUGAUGGACGAAAGCGUAGGUAGCGAACAGGAUUAGAUACCCUGGUAGUCUACGCCGUAAACGAUGGUUACUAGCUGUUCGGCCCAAUUGAGGGCUGAGUGGUUAAGCGAAAGUGAUAAGUAACCCACCUGGGGAGUACGUUCGCAAGAAUGAAACUCAAAGGAAUUGACGGGGGCCCGCACAAGCGGUGGAGCAUGUGGUUUAAUUCGAUGAUACGCGAGGAACCUUACCAGGGCUUAAAUGUAGUCUGACAGGUCUGGAAACAGACUUUUCUUCGGACAGAUUACAAGGUGCUGCAUGGUUGUCGUCAGCUCGUGCCGUGAGGUGUCAGGUUAAGUCCUAUAACGAGCGCAACCCCUGUGGUUAGUUGCCAGCGAGUAAUGUCGGGAACUCUAGCCAGACUGCCGGUGCAAACCGCGAGGAAGGUGGGGAUGACGUCAAAUCAUCACGGCCCUUACGUCCUGGGGCCACACACGUGCUACAAUGGUAGGGACAGAGAGCAGCCACUUCGCGAGAAGGAGCGAAUCUACAAACCCUAUCACAGUUCGGAUCGCAGUCUGCAACUCGACUGCGUGAAGCUGGAAUCGCUAGUAAUCGCAUAUCAGCCAUGAUGCGGUGAAUACGUUCCCGGGCCUUGUACACACCGCCCGUCAAGCCAUGGAAGCCGGGGGUACCUGAAGUCGGUCACCGCAAGGAGCCGCCUAGGUAAACGUC